UACGUAGGGUGCAAGCGUUAAUCGGAAUUACUGGGCGUAAAGCGUGCGCAGGCGGUUAUGCAAGACAGAUGUGAAAUCCCCGGGCUCAACCUGGGAACUGCAUUUGUGACUGCAUAGCUAGAGUACGGUAGAGGGGGAUGGAAUUCCGCGUGUAGCAGUGAAAUGCGUAGAUAUGCGGAGGAACACCGAUGGCGAAGGCAAUCCCCUGGGCCUGUACUGACGCUCAUGCACGAAAGCGUGGGGAGCAAACAGG
Molecule: ribosomal RNA, 253 nt
Filed under: uncultured bacterium
Lineage: Bacteria
Description: partial 16S ribosomal RNA
Rfam family: Bacterial small subunit ribosomal RNA
Source: RNAcentral